Molecule: long non-coding RNA, 1817 nt
Organism: Tetranychus urticae (two-spotted spider mite)
Lineage: Eukaryota; Metazoa; Arthropoda; Arachnida; Trombidiformes; Tetranychidae
Source: RefSeq, a predicted model, not a curated record
AAGGCGAUUAGAUCAAAUUUCAAUAAAACCACUAACUAAACAUAAUAAGAGAAACAAAAAUAAAGGUUUACAAUUAAAACGAUAAAACAGUGAAUUUAAUUUCCACUGUAAAUAAAACCGAAAAAAUGGAAAGCAUUGCAUUAGUAUGGAAAUCUAUCCCUAGCAAGAGCCACAAUACAUUGUUUUGAUCCAGACUUUUGGAUUCAUUUGAAUCAAUAUUGAAUGGAUAUUAUUCAUGGGUGUUAAUCUAUUUUAAUGCAAUUAUCAAAUCUAGUCAUUUUAUACGGAUGAAUAUUUUCAUGAAAACUUUUGCGAGUUUCGUAACUCUGACAAACCAUGGCAACUCUGGUAAUGACAUCGUUUAUUUCAACUGACAGAUUCAAUUAAAACUGGUUCAGGAUUGACUAAAUGUGUGUUUCCUGAACACUUCAUCAAACUCACUUUUCAUUCAAACUAUCCUUGGUGAAUAAAUUAGUGUCGUUUAUAUCCCUAUAUCACUAUAAAAUUGAAACACUAGACGUAACUCUAGCUGUCCAACAAGUAUAAUACCUAAGGUAAAGGCUGAUGCAAUUAAAUGGUUCAAUGGAUAUCAAUAAUCAAAUUUAGCGCGGCUUACUUGGCUGUUAUGUCAGAGCAAGGAAGUAUGGUUACCAAUCUAUGACCAGCCGACCAAGCAAAGCAAGUAUCAUCAGGGGAAAAAGCACAUUUCCAGGUUUCAGAAUCGGAUGAAGGUGAUCCGUGGAUCGAUUUGUUUGGUACCAAUUGUUUCAAUACUUUGACACUUUCUGGUAAACAAAAUUACAGUGUUGUUAAUUGUUACCAAAUGUUACAGUCAAUGAGUUUUGUACAAAGAAAUGAAAAAUAUGUUGUUCCUGGAGCCAACUCUUUUAACCAAUUUGUAUAUUUAGCUUCACUUCAAAUAACAAGGCAGGUUUGGACAAGGAAGACAAUAAUAACAAGGAUGGAUUUGUUGGACAGAAAUAUCGAAUAAUCGUUGGGUAGAAAUGUCACCAAUCAAAAUGAGAUACAAUAACAAAGAAGUUAAAAGUUGCCGACUGUUAAAGUGACUGCUUACGGAUGAAAAUAAACUAAUGGUUGGAAAAUUGAUCAACAGAAUGCCGUAGAAUGAAAUGAAACAAUAAUGAUACUGAAUCAGAGUGAAUUCUCAAAUGAUAAACAUGCAAUAAGGAUUGUCAAAAUUACUAAACAUGCGUCAUGCUUUUCCUCAUCUUCUUUCCAUGGCUUCCUACUGAUUCAUAGAAGUAGAUUUUCAUCAACUCAUAUAUUUCCUAUCUCAUUUCAACUCUUAUACACCUUAUAAUACUCAUUUUCUGGUUGCUUUAACCUGAAAUCAAUAAAGACGCUGGUACCAUAUUUUGAUUAAUGGGAGGAUCUAUUUUGUUGACCCAAAACUUGUAUGCUCAUGGACAUAUUGGUGUGAUUAUUUUGUCAUUUUUCAAGCUUGAGAUCUUUUCAAGGAAAAACUUUUACCAUCAACCAGAGUUUAAUUCAAUUGCUUGACCAAAAUUAUUGUUUCCCAUCAAAUUGAUUGGUUAAUGCGUAUCAAAAGUCAACUAGCUGUUUCACUAGCUAAAGAUACAUUAAUCUUACCCUAAACUUGUGCUGACAUUGAGCAUACAAUUUUAUAACCACUUUGUGUCUAUGAAUAAAAAUGGGUUUCAUAAUUAUAUUAUAAAUAGCAUUUGUACAAUUAUCAUACAAUUUAUAACUAUGAAAUAUUGUAAUGCUAGAUGGAAAUUUCAUCAUCUACGAUCAAAAAUGUUCAUAAAAGAUUAACAUUGACAUUAAAAUUGACU